Non-coding RNA from Acanthosepion pharaonis, 95 nucleotides. The record is from the annotation of a GenBank genome assembly. Lineage: Eukaryota; Metazoa; Mollusca; Cephalopoda; Sepiida; Sepiidae.
UACAGCCAUAUCACAUUGAAACACCAGUUCUCAUAUGAUCACCAAAGUUAAGCAGUGUUGAGCCUAGUCAGUAAUUAGAUGAGUGACUACUUUGG